CCUACGGGAGGCAGCAGUGAGGGAUAUUGCACAAUGGGGGGAACCCUGAUGCAGCGACGCCGCGUGGGUGAAGGCGCGCUUCGGCGCGUAAAGCCCUAUCGGCAGGGAAGAAGAUGACGGUACCUGACCAGGAAGCCCCGGCUAACUACGUGCCAGCAGCCGCGGUCAUACGUAGGGGGCCAGCGUUAUCCGGAUUUACUGGGGGGAAAGGGGGCGCAGACGGCAAUGCAAGCCAGGAGUGAAAGCCCGGGGCCCAACCCCGGGACUGCUCUUGGAAAUGCAUGGCUGGAGUACAGGAGAGGCAGGCGGAAUUCCUAGUGUAGCGGUGAAAUGCGUAGAUAUUAGGAGGAACACCGGUGGCGAAGGCGGCCUGCUGGACUGUGACUGACGUUGAGGCCCGAAGGCGUGGGGAGCAAACAGGAUUAGAUACCCGGGUAGUC
RNAcentral lists this ribosomal RNA (440 nucleotides) under uncultured bacterium. Its description in RNAcentral is "partial 16S ribosomal RNA". It matches the Rfam family "Bacterial small subunit ribosomal RNA", at positions 338 to 795 of the family's 1533-position model. The record is from RNAcentral.